UGCACCUUAAAUGUUUAUUUAUUUACUUCAUUGAACUUAAAUGUAAUGGCUUUCAUUUUCCUGCAUAUUUCCUACAACUACAAAGGGUUUUGCACCUUAAAUGUUUAUUUAUUUACUGUGGUAUAUGAUUUGUUUGGUAGUAAUUCUCCAUAUGGUAUGUAGAUUCCAUCAUUUCACUUUUUAUUUGAUUGAAACAUUUGUCUAAUCUUUUUAUUUUGUUAGGAUUUCCCCUCUUGUUUGUGACAGGAAACGGACAAGAAUUCUGCAUGUCAAGUGUUUGAAGAUAUUUCCGAGAGACAACCCAUCAACCCAUCAAACCAUCAACCCAAUGUUGUUGAAAAACUUAUUGUAUAUUAACCUCUUAUAAAAUGACUAUUAUGUUUGUAAUAGAGCAUAAAAGUUUUUAAGAAUUCAAAUGAGACAUUGUAAAGGGAAGGGAGUGUCACUACAAGAAAUUAGUCUUAUAGAGAAUAAGAAUAAGAAUGAUGAAUGAAUCGUCUCUCACUAGGCCAUAUGUAUGUGGUAUUGCUAUCAAACUCUUGAGAUUUUAAUGACAAUAACUUGCCUACUACUCAACUAAUGGCGGUAGUAAUAGGAAUGACAAUUUUUAAACUUCUAACAAUUGAUCUUAAACAUUAGGAAUGACAAUUUUUAAACUUUCCCCUCUUGCGAAUCACAAGAGUUAAUGUCCAUGCUAGUUUCACCUCCCUUUUCCAAUUUUGGUUAUUCAUAAAUUUCUCAUUUACGUAUUCUUGUUUUUUUUUUGGGCUGCUUACAGGAUAAAGAUGUGUCUAGUGAUAUAUAGAACGUUAGAAUCGUAUAUGUUUCUGUUGUUAUUUUUCAAGCCACUUAGUAUUGCUUUUGAGACAUUACAAGUACUUUUAUUGGGAAGUCUUUUCAUUUUCAUAAUGGAUAGAUCUAUCUAUAGAUCAUGUAACAUUUUUCCCGUAGAACAUAUAAUAAACACAGGUUGAAGGUUCUUUAGUCUGCAAAUUGUUUUUUGUAGGCUAUUUUGAUUCAUGGUUUUCAAUUGCUCAAUAUAUGGUUCCAUGAUUCAGCAGGGAACAACACAAAUUGCCAAAGGUCCAAACUCCUUGAUAUAUCAAUAGCAGGUUGUUUGCAAACUUUUUUUAUGUAGCCAUGUUAUUUUGUUGUUGUGUUACCAAGUGGUUGGGGGUUCUCAUGUUUUCUGGUCCCGUUAUUCACUUUUUCCUUAUUUGCUUAUAGCUCCCAAAUUUUUUUGCGAUGCAUUUAUUUUGUUGUUUUCUUUCUUCAUUCCUCUAACUUAGUAUUCCCUGUUCUUUAAAGAAGAUGUGUUUUGUGAAGCAUGGCACUGUAGUUUUCUUUAUAUUCUUUUCCCUUUUCCCCAUAUAAAAAUAAAAUUAUUUGAAUGAACAGGUAAAACAUGUUAAGCCAACUAUGUUACCAUUUUUUUCUUGUCCACUUAUAUCUCAUAAAAGAAAAAAAAUUUAGUGCUGCAUUUAUUUUGCUGUUUUCUUUCUUUCUUCCUCUAAGCCAGUAUUUUAUGAUCUUGAAAGAAGAUGUGUUUUGUGAAGCGUGGCACUGUAUAGUUUUCUUAAUUUCUUUUCCUUUCUUUUCUUUUCUCUUUUUUUUUCCUUCCUAUAAACGUAAGGGGGUUUGUUGCUUGGUGCAAUAGUAAAAGCUCUACAGGACCUUUUUACCUAUGCCUAGCCUGCUCAGUUAGUGUCAAUGUCAAGAAAAUGCACCAAUCUCUAUCUUUUUUUCCUUAAAGGUUUAUAUGUUUGUGAUUAUUUUAACUUGACAUGUUUUUAGUUGGUGGGUUGUCUUGGCAAUGUUUAUAUAUUUAUUAAUUGUUUCUAAGACCAUGGCUUUCCAUGAUUCUUGGCAAUCAUUCGUUUUCUAUUGUUAUUGUUGAUGCUGUUGCUAAAGACCAAGGGUACUUCUAAUUGUUGUUGUGGAUUGGAUUUGUCAUUAUUGUAACUUAACAAAUUUGAGUGCGGGUUCAUUCUAUGAAUGGAAAGGCAUUCUCAUAUGGAACUUGGGUUUUCUUCUGGACAUCAUGACGUUAUUGAUGGCACUCUGUCAUUAUGUGCAUAUCUGGUGGCUUCAUGGCAUGAAAUUUCAUCUUGUGGAUGUAGUUCUUUUCCUAAAUAUAUGUGUAAAGUUUCUCACUAUUUUUUUGUAGCAAUAUAUUGACAUUCAUUUGACUUGGACUUUUCAACAUUAUUAUUUCAUGUUUAUUUUGUUUAACACUUCAUAUUAUUGACCAGGCCUUGUUAGGUGCAAUUGUAAAACGUAUCAAAUGAUUUAUUAGGUUGAAGAUAGCUUUAGGCGUCCUUCAUGGAUCACUUCCAGAUGCAACACCUGAGGAGAUUGAAGCAUAUGAGGAUGAAUGUGCUAUUUGUAGGGAACCAAUGGCAAAGACGAAGAGACUGUCUUGUAAACAUCUUUUCCAUCUAACAUGUUUGAGAUCUUGGUAUGAUCUAUGUUGCGUGUUACGAUCUUGGACCCCCCCAUCAUGAGCAGAGAGGAAUUUGAAGCUCGGAAAGCUGAUCUAUGAAGAAAGCAUACAACGGAAUCUAUUGCUGCAAAGGUAUAGUGUUUUAGUUCUUUGAUUUGAGUAAGGAAUAGAUUCUUAAACAAUAUGAUGUUGGAGAUGCAUGUGUAAUUGUUGAAGAUCCUCACACUGAAGAUCUCAGCCAAGAAGUUAGAGGCUUCAUAUUCUCUAGAAUUCUGAUUGGUUUUUGAUGACGUCUGGAAGCAUAUUUGCAAAUCAAGAUCAAGUGUUGAAUUAUUUUUUUUACUG
Camellia sinensis is the source of this 2788-nucleotide non-coding RNA. Lineage: Eukaryota; Viridiplantae; Streptophyta; Magnoliopsida; Ericales; Theaceae. The record is from RefSeq and is a predicted model, not a curated record.